This 150-nucleotide non-coding RNA is filed under the name Aeromonas sp. Its description in RNAcentral is "MoCo sequence". It matches the Rfam family "Molybdenum/Tungsten riboswitch aptamer (Moco RNA motif)". The record is from RNAcentral. Lineage: Bacteria; Pseudomonadati; Pseudomonadota; Gammaproteobacteria; Aeromonadales; Aeromonadaceae.
CAAACCAUUGAACUCCGAGCUGCUUUGCCUACGUCACGAAAUGGAUAAGGGAAAGUAUGCCGAACAGCCGAACCUGUCGUACGGCUGUGAGGGUCAGCAAAGAAAUGCGCUGGCCUCCCGUAUUUGGAAAGGUGUUUAUGACAUUGCUGG